ACAUGCCUACAAUUUAGCGUUAAUUCCCUGGAUCCCAUUAGAACUCUGUAGUUAAAUGCGCUCGGGCUAGAGUAGUACUGGGAUGGGUGACCACCCAGGAAGUCCUAGUAUCUUACAUGCC
Molecule: non-coding RNA, 121 nt
Organism: Picea glauca (white spruce)
Lineage: Eukaryota; Viridiplantae; Streptophyta; Pinopsida; Pinales; Pinaceae
Source: Rfam